Molecule: RNA transcript, 2433 nt
Organism: Rosa chinensis
Lineage: Eukaryota; Viridiplantae; Streptophyta; Magnoliopsida; Rosales; Rosaceae
Exons: 7
Source: RefSeq, a predicted model, not a curated record
GAUAUAUACUUGGAUUAUAUCGUUAUGGCUAAUGGUAGACAAGGUCCAAAGUUUCUACAUCAAUUACGGACAAAAGCAAUGCCGCAGCACCAAAUGCGAUCAUCUACUCAAGAGCUUUUAAAGCUUGCUAAGUCAGCGAGCAAGCCUACAACAACAGCACAAGCAACAACAUCCUCAUUGCACUCAUCAGUAGAGCAGAUUCUCACUUCCAAUCGUACUCAACCUGCAAAACAUCUCUCUCAACCUCCAAUUCAAUCGUCACCACUUAAGCGAAUGCUACGAUCAUCUUCUGUUCAGGAAGGGUCAACUUCUAUUCAACAAGAAUCUGCUUCAACUAUAAAUGUCACAGAGCCUUCUCAAGUUCAUUCUUCACCGUCUGUGGAUGAGGUCACUAACACUAGUGGUGGUGCAGUUAGCAAGAAAGUGCGUGGUGAGACUCGAUGUCUUGAACUAUCCAAGAGGAAGCGCGAUGGUGUCCAAUUUGAUAUUGAUAUUCCAAAGCAUACCAUGAGAGCUAUAGGAACAAACUGCCAAUUUUACAUUACUGGUAUGGGAUGCUUCGUUCGAAAAAAAUGUUCCAUUACAAAUUAAGAAGUGGUCUGACAUAUCAAGAGAUGAUGUGGCUUUGCUAAUUCGCCAUGUCCGUGAGAAAUUCAAUUUGAGCCAUGAAUCUCAUGUGGAUGAGGCAAUUGAGAAACACAUGAUUAGAUAUUUUACCACAUGGCGCUAUAAUUUGCAUAAGAAGUUUCAGAAAUAUGAAUCAGUAGAGGAAGCAAUGGAGAAUCGACCUGAAGAUGUUGAAGAGGAUGAUUGGAACUACUUAAUUGCAAAUCUGUGGCAAGAUCAAAAGUGGCUGAAAACAAGUGAAAAAAACAAGAAAAACAGGGACAAGUUAGAGAUAACACAUUGUGCAGGGACAAAGGCAUUUAGUCGUCUUAGAACUGAAAAUCGAAAUCCUGAAACUGGAGAGGAAAUUGGUCGUAUUGACCUUUUCAAGCUCACACGAUACAGUGAAAAGAAAUCUGCAUGGGUUGGUGAUACAACAAAGAAUGCUUUUGAAGAGAUGAAAAAUCUACAAAACGAGCCACAAAUGAAUGAAAAAUCUGGUGAAAUAAUGUCUGAAGAUGAGAUCUAUGAUGAAGUGCUUUCCAAAAUUGUUGGUCCACCAUGAUCAAGCUAUAUACGUGGCUUAGGAGCAGGCCCAAAGCCUAAAAGGUCUAAAUUUUCUGCAAAUGAUGCUCAAGUGAGGGAGGCGAAUCAAAGGGCAGAUGAAGCGGAAAGAAGAGCAAUGCAGCUUGCAGAUGAAUUGAUGGCUGUAAAGUCUACUGCAGCUCAGCAAAAUGAGGAGUUAGAGAUGGUCAAAGCUAGUGCAGCUGAACAAAAUGAAGAGUUAGAGGCAGUGAAGGUUAGAGCUGCUCAACAAAAUGAAGAGUUGGAGGCAUUAAAGGCAAGACAAAAUCAGACUGACACACUUUUACUCAAAUUGAUGGCGCAGUUGUCCUCCCAAAAAUGAAGAUUGUGUUUUGCCCAUGUGCUCUUGUUAAUUAAUGCAGAUUUUGCAGAAGACAAAAAAUGUGGUGAGUUGAGCAUAAAUUCUGGGCUUGUUCAAUUCAAACUGCUCUCAUGGUUUUUUGGGCAGUAGUACUGAUUUGUCCCCACAAAACCUUCUCUCACUUUACCUGCAGCUUGGUUUUGAUUCCCACAGAAAGCUGAUAAAGAAGGAAGUUAAAAAGAAAAAGAGAGUUCCUGUCUUUCACUCACUCACAAAAAUAUUCCAGCUCUUUUGAGUAUUCUAUAACAGCUCCUUAAAACCCAGACCUAGCUUAGCUUAGAGUCCUUAGACCAAAAGCACCAAACCCCUUGUUUCAUUUUUUCAAAGCUGAGUUUUUGUUUUGGGUUUUGUCUGGUGUUGAACUUUGACUGUGAACAGUGGGGUUUUGUUUAUUUUGGGUUUUUGGGUUUUGUUGGGUAGCUUUGGUUAUGAUAUUAGCUUGUUUAAGCUUCCAUCAAUAUCUCAGUUUCAUUGCCUACAUGUUGUUGCGAAGUUGUUACAUAGAAGAUUGGUUUCUGGAUAUGACUAAUGGUUAUUUUGCCAUUGCUACCUUCAGAUUGUGUUUUGCCCAUGUGCUCUUGUUAAUUAAUCUAGAUAUACACAAUAUGUACAUGAAAAAAUUGGCAGAUGAAAAGGGCAUCAAGCAACAUACAUAUCAUUGAAGGCUUUUGAACUUCUAGGAAGACUUGUAUGUACUUCCUUUUAUUUUGAAAUGGCUAUCAAGGAUGGAUAUUGACAUUUGUAUAUUUUGGAUGUAGAAAGUUAGUAUUUCAAGAUGGAGGUUGAUGUUUAUUAUUGGAUUGAUAUAAUCAACCCUUGUUAACCAUCAGUUUUACAGUACAUUUUCAUAUGGUGAUUUUGGAAUAUUGAAGGCUACUAUU